AAAAUCCUGCGAUGUACGUUUCGGUUUCUUUUGUUUUAAACCAAUGAUUGUUUCUCGGGAAAUCCAUAUUGAAGCGCGGCUGACAUGCCCCCGAAAAGGGACUUCAAAAACGUUUCUGCGAUCACCCACCUGCUAAAGCAGGUUUGAAACUAUUAAACCGGACGGCAUUUGCGGGUUUUCU
Paenibacillus sp. HGF7 is the source of this 181-nucleotide non-coding RNA. It matches the Rfam family "6S / SsrS RNA". From Rfam's summary of the family: E. coli 6S RNA was the first non coding RNA to be sequenced, but its function was unknown until recently. It consists of 184 nucleotides that fold into an extended hairpin structure with a large single-stranded internal bulge. The 6S RNA specifically associates with RNA polymerase holoenzyme containing the sigma70 specificity factor. NCBI's taxonomy places the organism in Bacteria, Bacillati, Bacillota, Bacilli, Caryophanales, Paenibacillaceae. The record is from Rfam.